GGUCCCUUGAUAGGAAACAAAAACCAUGCCAUUGAACUUUUAAGCAAUUUCACCCCCCAAAAAAUCUUAGGCACCCAAAAAAAACCUCAGCUGAAAACCACUUUGUGGUUUUAACCCUGCUGAGGAAGCGGGCCAGCACGUGCAACUCGUGUAAGAGGUGUUUCGGGUUGAUCAGUUGUCUGGAGGGUUGGCCAUCUGCUCUCUCCCUCCCUCUUGGCUGCUGCCCUCACCUGUGGAGACCCACUGGUGGGGUGCAAAGACUUGGGGGGAACCUGGCACCUCUUCUCCUCUUCUCUGGGAGUGAGAGCCCCUGAUUAUGCUGAGACCUUUGCCUCUGCCAGCCCCAGGAGGACUGGGGACAUCACUGUUGAGAACUGAUGGUGUAAAUUUGCACGAGACAGGCUCACUGGGAAAGGAUGGUUUAACCCCCGGAAUUUCAGCAGGUACAUGAUGUGCCUAUAGAAGCAAAUCUCCAUUUCUAAGUUUUUUUCUCAUCCCAGAGCGGCACAGCACAGCUCAGUGCCAUGCCCGGCUCUCUGCUUACACCUUCUGGGUCACCGCUGUUAUAGGAAGGUGAUGACUGGAGGUGUUGGAGCUCAUUAAUGGCUUUGAGCAAGUUAAUUGGUAUAAACACAACAGUGGGAGAUGUGGCGGCUCUGCAAAGGGGAGCGUGCCCGGCUCUGAGGCGGGAUUGAGCAGAGGUCCCGUGUCUGGGUGGAUGAUUGGACCCCGGUAACUGAGUUCAGGCUCUCGGGACCACGUUCCCCUCACUGCAGCGUGGACAUGGGCUGCACCUCAGUGUGUGU
Molecule: long non-coding RNA, 806 nt
Organism: Athene cunicularia (burrowing owl)
Lineage: Eukaryota; Metazoa; Chordata; Aves; Strigiformes; Strigidae
Exons: 3
Source: RefSeq, a predicted model, not a curated record